This 433-nucleotide ribosomal RNA is filed under the name uncultured bacterium. RNAcentral describes it as "partial 16S ribosomal RNA". It matches the Rfam family "Bacterial small subunit ribosomal RNA", at positions 29 to 507 of the family's 1533-position model. The record is from RNAcentral.
AACGAACGCUGGCGGCAUGCCUAACACAUGCAAGUCGAACGAAACCUCCAGGUCUAGGGGCGCACGGGUGCGUAACGCGUGGGAAGCUGCACUUAUGUACGCAAUAACUCCCCGAAAGGGAUACUAAUGCAGGAUAAUGUCUUAUAACCAAAGAUUUAUUGCCUGUGGAUGGGCCCUCGUUAGAUUAGCUAGUUGGGAGGGUAAACGCCUACCAAGGCGACGAUCCAUAGCUGGUCUGAGAGGAUGAUAAGCCACACUGGGACUGAGAAACGGCACAGAAUCCUCCGGGAGGCAGCAGUGGGGAACAUUGCAACAUGGGCGAAAGCAUGAACCAGCUCUGACGCGUGAGCGCUGAAGGCAUUAGGGUUGUAAUGCUCUUUUAACCGGGCUCAUCAUGACAGUACCGAGUGAAUAAGCCCCGGCUAACUACGUG